CCUACGGGAGGCAGCAGUGGGGAAUAUUGGACAAUGGGGGGAACCCUGAUCCAGCCAUGCCGCGUGUGUGAAGAAGGCCCUCGGGUUGUAAAGCACUUUCAGUGAAGAAGAACGCCUGGUGGUUAAUACCCAUCAGGAAAGACAUCACUCACAGAAGAAGCACCGGCUAACUCCGUGCCAGCAGCCGCGGUAAUACGGAGGGUGCGAGCGUUAAUCGGAAUUACUGGGCGUAAAGCGCGCGUAGGUGGCUUGAUAAGCCGGUUGUGAAAGCCCCGGGCUCAACCUGGGAACGGCAUCCGGAACUGUCAAGCUAGAGUGCAGGAGAGGAAGGUAGAAUUCCCGGUGUAGCGGUGAAAUGCGUAGAGAUCGGGAGGAAUACCAGUGGCGAAGGCGGCCUUCUGGACUGACACUGACACUGAGGUGCGAAAGCGUGGGUAGCAAACAGGAUUAGAUACCCCGGUAGUC
Molecule: ribosomal RNA, 465 nt
Filed under: Vreelandella stevensii
Lineage: Bacteria; Pseudomonadati; Pseudomonadota; Gammaproteobacteria; Oceanospirillales; Halomonadaceae
Description: partial 16S ribosomal RNA
Rfam family: Bacterial small subunit ribosomal RNA
Source: RNAcentral